GACGAACGCUGGCGGCAGGCCUAACACAUGCAAGUCGAACGCCGUAGCAAUACGGAGUGGCAGACGGGUGAGUAACACGUGGGAACGUACCUUUCGGUUCGGAAUAACUCAGGGAAACUUGAGCUAAUACCGGAUACGUGCGAGAGCAGAAAGAUUUAUCGCCGAAAGAUCGGCCCGCGUCCGAUUAGCUAGUUGGUGAGGUAAUGGCUCACCAAGGCGACGAUCGGUAGCUGGUCUGAGAGGAUGAUCAGCCACACUGGGACUGAGACACGGCCCAGACUCCUACGGGAGGCAGCAGUGGGGAAUAUUGGACAAUGGGGCGAAAGCCUGAUCCAGCCAUGCCGCGUGAGUGAUGAAGGCCUUAGGGUUGUAAAGCUCUUUCGCCAGGGACGAUAAUGACGGUACCUGGAUAAGAAGCCCCGGCUAACUUCGUG
RNAcentral lists this ribosomal RNA (434 nucleotides) under uncultured bacterium. RNAcentral describes it as "bacterial SSU rRNA". It matches the Rfam family "Bacterial small subunit ribosomal RNA", at positions 28 to 507 of the family's 1533-position model. The record is from RNAcentral.